GAUGAACGCUGGCGGCGUGCCUAAUACAUGCAAGUCGAGCGAGCGGACGAGAAGCUUGCUUCUCUGAUGUUAGCGGCGGACGGGUGAGUAACACGUGGAUAACCUACCUAUAAGACUGAGAUAACUUCGGGAAACCGGAGCUAAUACCGGAUAAUAUUUUGAACCGCAUGGUUCAAAAGUGAAAGACGGUCUUGCUGUCACUUAUAGAUGGAUCCGCGCUGCAUUAGCUAGUUGGUAAGGUAACGGCUUACCAAGGCAACGAUGCAUAGCCGACCUGAGAGGGUGAUCGGCCACACUGGAACUGAGACACGGUCCAGACUCCUACGGGAGGCAGCAGUAGGGAAUCUUCCGCAAUGGGCGAAAGCCUGACGGAGCAACGCCGCGUGAGUGAUGAAGGUCUUCGGAUCGUAAAACUCUGUUAUUAGGGAAGAACAUAUGUGUAAGUAACUGUGCACAUCUUGACGGUACCUAAUCAGAAAGCCACGGCUAACUACGUG
Molecule: ribosomal RNA, 497 nt
Filed under: uncultured bacterium
Lineage: Bacteria
Description: partial 16S ribosomal RNA
Rfam family: Bacterial small subunit ribosomal RNA
Source: RNAcentral